Molecule: ribosomal RNA, 274 nt
Filed under: uncultured bacterium
Lineage: Bacteria
Description: partial 16S ribosomal RNA
Rfam family: Bacterial small subunit ribosomal RNA
Source: RNAcentral
AUACGGAGGGUGCAAGCGUUACUCGGAAUCACUGGGCGUAAAGGACGCGUAGGCGGAUUGGAAAGUCAGAUGUGAAAUCCUACAGCUUAACUGUAGAACUGCAUUUGAAACUUCUAAUCUAGAGUAUGGGAGGGGGAGAUGGAAUUAGUGGUGUAGGGGCAAAAUCCGUAGAUAUCACUAGGAAUACCGAAAGCGAAGGCGAUCUCCUGGAACAUAACUGACGCUAAGGCGUGAAAGCGUGGGGAGCAAACGGGAUUAGAAACCCUAGUAGUCC